UACGAAGGGUGCAAGCGUUAAUCGGAAUUACUGGGCGUAAAGCGCGCGUAGGCGGUUUGGUCAGUUGGAUGUGAAAGCCCCGGGCUCAACCUGGGAACUGCAUCCAAUACUGCCAGGCUAGAGUACGGGAGAGGGGGGUAGAAUUCCACGUGUAGCGGUGAAAUGCGUAGAGAUGUGGAGGAAUACCGGUGGCGAAGGCGGCCCCCUGGAUCGAUACUGACGCUGAGGUGCGAAAGCGUGGGGAGCAAACAGG
RNAcentral lists this small RNA (253 nucleotides) under uncultured Oceanospirillales bacterium. Its description in RNAcentral is "contains 16S-23S intergenic spacer region". It matches the Rfam family "Bacterial small subunit ribosomal RNA", at positions 524 to 776 of the family's 1533-position model. The record is from RNAcentral. Lineage: Bacteria; Pseudomonadati; Pseudomonadota; Gammaproteobacteria; Oceanospirillales.